This 491-nucleotide ribosomal RNA is filed under the name uncultured bacterium. Its description in RNAcentral is "bacterial SSU rRNA". It matches the Rfam family "Bacterial small subunit ribosomal RNA", at positions 28 to 521 of the family's 1533-position model. The record is from RNAcentral.
GAUGAACGCUAGCGGCAGGCUUAACACAUGCAAGUCGAGGGGUAUUGGUUUUCGGACCAAGAGACCGGCGCACGGGUGCGUAACGCGUAUGCAAUCUACCUUUUGCAGAGGGAUAGCCCAGAGAAAUUUGGAUUAAUACCUCAUAGUAUAGUACUUUGGCAUCAAGGAACUAUUAAAGUCACAACGGCAAAAGAUGAGCAUGCGUCCAUUAGCUAGUUGGUAAGGUAACGGCUUACCAAGGCUACGAUGGGUAGGGGUCCUGAGAGGGAGAUCCCCCCACACUGGUACUGAGACACGGACCAGACUCCUACGGGAGGCAGCAGUGAGGAAUAUUGGACAAUGGGCGCAAGCCUGAUCCAGCCAUGCCGCGUGCAGGAUGACGGUCCUAUGGAUUGUAAACUGCUUUUANACAGGAAGAACCCUCCCACGUGUGGGAGCUUGACGGUACUGUAGGAAUAAGGAUCGGCUAACUCCGUGCCAGCAGCCGCGGU